GAUGAACGCUGACAGAAUGCUUAACACAUGCAAGUCAACUUGAACUUCGGUUUGGGUGGCGGACGGGUGAGUAACGCGUAAAGAACUUGCCUCACAGCUAGGGACAACAUUUGGAAACGAAUGCUAAUACCUGAUAUUAUGAUUAUAUGGCAUCGUAUAAUUAUGAAAGCUAUAUGCGCUGUGAGAGAGCUUUGCGUCCCAUUAGCUAGUUGGAGAGGUAACAGCUCACCAAGGCGAUGAUGGGUAGCCGGCCUGAGAGGGUGAUCGGCCACAAGGGGACUGAGACACGGCCCUUACUCCUACGGGAGGCAGCAGUGGGGAAUAUUGGACAAUGGACCGAGAGUCUGAUCCAGCAAUUCUGUGUGCACGAUGAAGUUUUUCGGAAUGUAAAGUGCUUUCAGUUGGGAAGAAAAAAAUGACGGUACCAACAGAAGAAGUGACGGCUAAAUAUGUG
This 454-nucleotide ribosomal RNA is filed under the name uncultured bacterium. RNAcentral's name for it is "partial 16S ribosomal RNA". It matches the Rfam family "Bacterial small subunit ribosomal RNA", at positions 28 to 507 of the family's 1533-position model. The record is from RNAcentral.